UGGGGAAUAUUGGACAAUGGGCGCAAGCCUGAUCCAGCCAUGCCGCGUGAGUGAUGAAGGCCUUAGGGUUGUAAAGCUCUUUCGGCGGGGACGAUAAUGACGGUACCCGCAGAAGAAGCCCCGGCUAACUUCGUGCCAGCAGCCGCGGUAAUACGAAGGGGGCUAGCGUUGCUCGGAAUCACUGGGCGUAAAGGGCGCGUAGGCGGACAUUUAAGUCGGGGGUGAAAGCCCAGGGCUCAACCCUGGAAUUGCCUCCGAUACUGGGUGUCUCGAGACCGGAAGAGGUGAGUGGAACUGCGAGUGUAGAGGUGAAAUUCGUAGAUAUUCGCAAGAACACCAGUGGCGAAGGCGGCUCACUGGUCCGGUUCUGACGCUGAGGCGCGAAAGCGUGGGGAGCAAACAGGAUUAGAUACCCUGGUAGUCCACGCCGUAAACGAUGGAUGCUAGCCGUUGGCAGGCUUGCCUGUCAGU
RNAcentral lists this ribosomal RNA (471 nucleotides) under uncultured bacterium. RNAcentral describes it as "partial 16S ribosomal RNA". It matches the Rfam family "Bacterial small subunit ribosomal RNA", at positions 355 to 844 of the family's 1533-position model. The record is from RNAcentral.